RNAcentral lists this unclassified non-coding RNA (476 nucleotides) under Leishmania donovani. RNAcentral's name for it is "gene:unknown". The record is from RNAcentral. Lineage: Eukaryota; Euglenozoa; Kinetoplastea; Trypanosomatida; Trypanosomatidae.
CACACACGUUGAGCCCCGCCCCGCCCGCCCCGUCAGAGACCCAUCGCACGCCGCGAAGCAGCCGCGCACACGCGUGGCGGCAAUGCGCCAGCUCAGGCAUGCGGGCAGCGUCUGCGCCCCAAACACCCCCCGCCCCCGCCUCGCAGGCUGCCUCACCGUCGCCCCCAGCCAUGCUGACCGCCACGCGAUGCAUCGCCCGAGGUCGCUCAGGCUUCCCUACACCAGCAGGCAGUGCGAGGGCCGGGUGGGACACGUUCGAGUCACGCUGACACUCCGCCCAGCAUACGGACGGCACAGGCGUGCGCACAGUGGCGGAUCUCUCCCCAACGCAGCGCCAUCCAGCACCUCACCGCCGACAUCAUUAGCGAUAAGUCGCUCUGGCCCCCAUACGUCGUAGGCGCCUGACCCUGCCACCAUGAAGGGUGGCUCGGCGCCGGCAUGUAUAAGGGGACUGCCAGGCCUCUCCACCGAGUGGG